Molecule: ribosomal RNA, 608 nt
Filed under: uncultured fungus
Lineage: Eukaryota; Fungi
Description: eukaryotic LSU rRNA
Rfam family: Eukaryotic large subunit ribosomal RNA
Source: RNAcentral
AAACCAACGUGGAUUCCCCUAGUAGCGGCGAGCGAAGCGGGAAGAGCUCAACUUUGUAAUCUCCUUGCUGCGCAAGGCGAGUUGUAGUCUCACGAAGCGCGGCCCGUGCCGGACCUCGUCAAAGCUGCAUGAUGGCAGCGCCACAGAGGGUGCAAGCCCCGUUGAUGACGAGGAUCGCCGUGCGCGAUGUGGUCCGCUUUCUACGAGUCGAGUUGUUUGGGAAUGCAGCUCCAAGUGGGUGGUAAAUUCCAUCUAAGGCUAAAUAACGGCGAGAGACCGAUAGCGAACAAGUACCGUGAGGGAAAGAUGAAAAGCACUUUGGAAAGAGGAUGAAACAAUACGUGAAAUUGCUUUAUUGGAAAUGCUUGAAGUCAGGUCACUGGCGAGCGGGGUUCACCUCGUCCUCGGACGGGGGCAUUUCCCGCUCUGCUUGCGCCAGCAUCGGUUUCGGCGGCCGGACAUGGGCCCGAGAAAGGUAGCUUCCGUUCGCGGUCGUGUUAUAGUCUCGGGCAGGUGCGGCGGCUGGGACCGGGGACCGCAGCGCGCCGCAAGGCACUGCUCUCGGGCAGCCACGCGCUCAGGAUGCUGGUGGAAUGGCUUUAAGCGAC